UCUCAUGGUUCUUUUGAUUUGCAUUAACCUGAUGACUAAGGAUGUCGAACAUUUCUUUAUGUGCUUCUCAGCCAUUGAGCAUUCCUCAGUUGAUAAUUCUUUGUUUAGCUCUGUACUCCAUUUUUUAAUACGAUUAUUUGAUUCUCUGGAGUCUAACUCCUUGAGUUCUUUGUAUACAUUAGAUAUUUUGCCUACAUUGAUAUAUGUGCACUGCGUGCAUUAUUGGUGCCCGUAGAAGUCAGAGAAAAGCUUCAGAUCCCCUAUAACUGACAUCAUCUAUAGUUGUGAGCCACCAAGUCAUUGCUGGAAAUCAAACCAUGUCCUCGGCAAGAGCAAGUAUUCUUAAAUACCAAACCAUCUCUUUAGCCAUAAAAGCUCAAUAUUCAAGGAGUUUUCUUCAAUACUGAAAAAACUGUCCUAUUGGAUGUUCAAUACCUAUAGUGGGAAACCUGUAACAAUAUGGACAAAGACCAAAGGAAUAUUAUUUUAGACCCUACUUCAGGUCAGUUAAGUCCCAAGGGAUUAGAGAAUGCUUUGAAAGUUCUCCAUAUCUGGUAAGACCCCUGACCUCUAGAUCAGUGAGGUUGUGAGAAGGAAGAACCAUAGGAAUGUUAUGUUUACAAUCAAGGUGCUCUAUAAGGUAGAAUGUUAAUAUUAUUUCAGGGCAGUUAUGGAGAUGAAUAUUCAAAUUCCUUACUGUUUGAAGUUGUCAUUCAGAACAUCUUUUAUUCUCUUGCCUGAAUUUAUUUCUAAUUUUUUUUCAUGUUACUAUAAAUGAGAUUUUGUCCCUG
This 791-nucleotide long non-coding RNA is filed under the name Rattus norvegicus (Norway rat). RNAcentral's name for it is "long non-coding RNA NONRATT025618". Lineage: Eukaryota; Metazoa; Chordata; Mammalia; Rodentia; Muridae. The record is from RNAcentral.